This 4399-nucleotide long non-coding RNA is filed under the name Sus scrofa (pig). Its description in RNAcentral is "lncRNA (ENSSSCG00015060720.1)". Lineage: Eukaryota; Metazoa; Chordata; Mammalia; Artiodactyla; Suidae. The record is from RNAcentral.
UGUCAAUUGGGAGUUCCUCUAGGGAUGCCAACUGGAGCCACGUGACUUCUUCGCAUGGCUUUGGGCAUCCCACAACAUGGAAGCUGGGCUCCAAAAGGACUCAUCCUUUUGUAGGAGGUGAGCAUUCCAAAAGAAAGUUGCCCAGCCCUCUAAUAUUCAGGUUUCGUCCUCAUGUACCUCUUCUCCUGCAUGCUGUUGAUUACCCCAUAGGUAGAGAGAAGAGGAAUACUUUCUAACUCUUGAUGAGACUAUCAGCAUGAACAUUUAGAGCGGGAAAAAUGCAGGCCAUGUUUGAAUUCACAUUCCCAUGAACGGUUCCACCUUUGGUAGGUAGAGAAGCUAUAGAUAAUGACCAUUUACGAAUGCUCUUAACAUCUUACUGCUAGGGAACACAUGGUCAUCUAGUCGAUGCCAAAUGUUCCCUGGUGAUACAAAGCCAAAACAUAUCAGAAGCAGGUGAAAGAUAGAGGGCUUUUUGGAGGAAGGGAGUUUUUAAGCCUCAUCUGACGCAGAGGGCAUAUACCCAGAGUAUAUACUCAAAGGUGAUAAUGCCCUGCUUCUGAGUACACAAUACAUGCAACCCAGACAAUAAUCCAUGAAGUGGUAUUUUUCAAUGUUGAUGUCUUGAGCAUAGAAAAAGCAGCAAGCAUGUCUUUGUGUCUCAGUGUUCCUGUAGACACGCUGUAUGAAUAAUAACAAAUGCUCUUUUCAGCUUUUGUUCCAGGGUCUAUUUUAUAAAUUCCUAUGCAUGAAUCUUGCUCAAAGCCUCAAUGGUAACCCACUCAUGGAUUUGUGACAGAGGGUGGAGGAGAUAACUGAGUGUUCAUUACAUGGGAUCCUUGCUGAAUAACGUUUGAAUACAGAGCUUGUCUAAUGACUGAAACUAAGUCAGGGUAUUAUAAAAUACAGUGUAGUCAUAGCAAACGAAAACAAAAAAAGCUCUGUAGAUGCUAAGAGUGUGGGUGCCAGAAAACAGGGCCAUAGGCUUCAAACUUGAAAGCACAGAGCUAAGAGUAUGAAAGAGAAUAGAAUAUAGAGAUCAUGGAAAAACCAUGAUCUCCCCUUGGAAUGCCAAGGAGGUUAAGCUAGGAAAGAAGUUCAGAUAGUGAAGAGUUAUGGGCCCUGUGAAGGGACACUCAGGCCUGCUGUAAAUGUUAAGGCUUUGCUGAGAUCAGAUCGGACGAUGGUUAGAGGAAACUGUUCAUCAUACACCCAAGAGGUACACUCCUCCGGUGUUGGUUUAGCAAGCUGUAUCCGUACUCUUUGGUGUUUUUACCCCCCCUCCACACACACUUUGAUGCACAGCCUUUGUUCACAAUCCUAAUAAAAGAUAGACCCUGAGUUUCCUUGGGGCUCUUGCUGGCUACAGCAUUAGUCAUUUCUUUGUCGUCUUCAAGUUGAUCUUGUCACAUAUGAUCACAAGAGUUUCUUUUAUGGGGAAAGUUUUGGACAGUGCACUGUUGCGUAUAUUCUCAUAGAGAUUCCAUAGCAUUAUUUAAAAUUCAUGGCCUGAGGUUGCAGUGAGUACAGAUUUAGCAUUCACAGGAGAUAGGACAGAGCUGGAAUAUGGAGCGGAUGUUAUAUAAGCAACCAUGAUUUUGGAAACAGCCAGCUAGGGCAAAGAAUAGAAGGGGAGGAAAAACGAGGAAGUGAGUAAAGUUACCCAUGGUGGCUGCUUUCAUGCAGAUUCAAUCCCCAUUUUGAUUUAAGAACCGGAUGAUCUACCCACAGAAAGGGUAAGAAGUUUCUAAUGCUUUAUUACAUACAGGAAGUUAGCUUUUUCAGAACAGCUGUGGGAGUUCCCAUUGUGUCUCUGUGGUAACAAACCUGAGUGUAGUAUCCAUGAGGACAUGGAUUCCAUCCCUGGUCCCAUUCAUUGGGUUAAGGAUCUGGCUUUACCAGAAGCUGCAGUGCAUGUUGCCUGUGUGGCUCAGAUCCUGCGUUGCUCUUGUGUAGGAAACAGCUACAGGUCCAAUGCAAGCCCUAGACUGGGAGUUUGGAUAUGCUGUGGUUGUGGCCCGAAAGAGACAAAAAAAACAAAACCACACAACUACAUGACCAGUGCUAAGGGCCUUUGAGGUCUAACUGAAAGAGGAUUCCACUGAAACACGUUACUCCAAAGGAAAGAUACUGGACCGAAAUACUCAUUUCCUCGUUUGCAAAAUGGAAAUAAUAAUGGUUGCUGGCUCAAGAGAUUUGUGUGAGCCUCUGAGGAGGUAAUAUAUUUGCAGUGUGCCUGACACAGGAGGAGUACCUAGGCAUGGUCAGCUAUUUUUAUGUCAUCCUCACCAAUAAAAAAAUAAUGUAACACCUUUAAAAAACUAAAGAUAAUAUUCGGAGUAGUAACCCAAGAAUCUUCAAGAUGUUAUUUGCUAUGUAAUUUGAAUUAAGGGGGAAAAAUACCCCAAAAUGCCCGUUUUGUGAUUGGCAAGCUUCUGGAACAUUGGUUGGAAAUCGUUCAGCCCUGAAAAUCCAAGUGGCCACCACUGCAGCCUCAUUAGUCAUUCCCUCUUUUAUAACAUGAUACUCAUUGGCGUUCCAUGGUUAGAAUUACCCAUCAUUUACUGAUGUUAUGGAGCAAUAAUAAUGCUUUCUUUGAUUUCCUUUGUGACAUUUCAUUCAUUGAAAUACACGGGGAAGACAAAGGCUAAUGAUUGGACACACUCUUCCAAGUCUUUUAGGCCAAUUACAAAGGACAAAGUACCCAGUGACAAAGAGAUUUUUUAUUUUUUCUUUUGUAAAAUGUUCACGCAUUGGUGAGGGGAAUACGCAGCGUAUGUUACACACCUGAGAUGAAGAUAUCUACCCUAUUUGACAAUUUUUCUGACUAUGCCUCUCCUUAUUUCCCUUUUGAUAUCUUUGUUCCAAAGGCUAUGUAGACCAAAAGGUUUAACAGGGGACUCACAAAGAUAUAGAAAACAGCUAGCAUUUUGCCUUGUUCUACGGAUGCUUCAGAAGGAGGCCCCCGAUAUAUGCAGAAGAGCAUCCAUAAAAAAGAGUGACAGCCUGCAGAUGGGACCCAGAGCUGGAAAAAGCCUCGGGCCUCCCUUCAACAGAGCUGUUACGCAGAACGGCUGUGAAAAUAAAAACGUCGGAGGUGAGGACGAGGACAAUGGUGUGAGAGAACAGCAGAGGUUGAAACCAGCUACUGCGAACAUGGCAGUCGUGUUUUCAUACAUAUCUGAGCAGGGAAGGAUGAAGAGAGGUGGAUCAGCACAAUACAAGCAGUUGAUUUCAUUGGGUCCCAGGAAGGAGAGACAGGGUAUCAGGAUGGUCUGGGCUCGACCAGUUACAAAGCCAUGACUAUAAUGGUAGCCGUGAGAGAGAGGCAGAAACUUUGGGACAUGUUGCUCUCAUAGAGCAAGGGUUGGCAAACAGCCAUGGUCAGAAGCCAUGACUGUGAUCACGUCAUCUGUGGUUUGUAGGAGCCAUCGUGUGAUCUCCAGGAUGAUGAAUGAAAAAGUGGAACUGGAUAGAGCAACCAAGAAAGGAAAUUUGUUUUCCCUUCCCUUGGAUAAGUAACGCACCAGCAUCUGAGGGGUGACCUUCGUGGCAUGACACAGACCUACAAAGCAGAGGUAGGUGGCUGAGGAAGAAGCACACUGGAGUGUGAAGCGUUGAGUCACUGUGCAUUAGCAGACUGGUAGGGACAUUGCCAAUUACUAAGGUAAGGUAGAUGACGAGGCAUACCACCAGCAGGACAGGCUGCACCUCAGCUACAUCUGUCAGUCCCGGAAGCCUCCACUUGGUCAUCACCUCUGAGUAGUUGUCCUUUUCACAUUGUUUGCGUCCCUUGCAAUGAGGUCUGAAGUAAAGGAAAUAUGCCUGCAUUUGUCUUUAGUCUUUUUGCUGCUACUCCCAUCAUGGCAUUUGCUACUUAGCAUGUGAUAGAUGUUUUCAAUAUCUAACGUAAUGUAGAGAUCCUUUAUAUAAAAGCAGUCAUUUUUAAAUGCUUUUCUGCAAGACUUUUCACAUUGGAAAAACCUUUGUCUUUUCUGCAGAUGUCAUUAUAUACAUUGUUGACUUAGGGUCCCUUUAAACAUUGCUCUUCUUUGAAUAUAUGAUCCUAUGUGUUUUAACAUGCCUUUUGAUGUGGUAUCUAAAGUGUCCGUCCUUGAGGUUCAGGGGCUUUCACAGCUGAGUGACGGUAAAGGAAGUGGAACUGAGAUAUGCACAGAUUCUCUUAGAAGCAGAGUGUGUCUAUGUGCCCCUCUAAACUCAAGGUCAUUUUCAAGGGGGCCUCUCCCCCUGUGGUGCCUAAACAGGUUCCCCACACUUGGCUAUCUCAAGUGGCCCUCAUAUACCAAGCCUUGCUUUAAGUCGUUAGAUUCUGCUCCUGAUAAGCUUAGUCUUGAGGAACACAGAAUUAUUGGGGGCAAUACUUGGUAGGACACACAAA